Molecule: long non-coding RNA, 1418 nt
Filed under: Olea europaea subsp. europaea
Lineage: Eukaryota; Viridiplantae; Streptophyta; Magnoliopsida; Lamiales; Oleaceae
Source: RNAcentral
CUAACUUGUAUUUUGGUCAAUGAAAACCUUAGCUGGCUUGAUUUUGGCGACCAGCUGUCAUCCAAUAUUUUCUAUUUGGGGGAUUAGUUUUAGUUGCUGAUAAUGGACCAUUAGUGACCAAUUUUUUGGUCGGCCAAACUCAUUUUUCUUGUAUUUUUUGAAUUGGGUUUAGUCUGUUUUCUUGUUCUAUCCCUAAUCAAUUGAUAGGUAGUUAAAUCCGUUUUAGUAUGAGGAUUAGUGUUAGGUCCACAUUCAGAGUUUGAAAUUGAAUCAUUGUCUUCACCUUCUAAGGUGUCAUGUUCUUCUCCUUCUUUGUGAAUUUCAAGUUGUGGACGUUCAAAAUCUGAGACAUCAAUUGGCUUCACCUCAAUUUGGACCUCGUAAGUAUCUAAUAAGAUAUUUAGGUCCUUAUUUUUAUUAUUAUCACUGCAUAUUGGCUCAAAAUUUCAAUACAGCAUCUCUAAUUCAUUAAAAACAACAUCUCUCCGCUUAAAAUGAAUUGAAUGCUUUCUUCCCCUUUCACCACUCCCUCAGGGUACCCCAAAAUACACAUUUUAUUGCCCUAGGAUUCAACUUAUCCUUUCUUCUGUGAGCUAAAGCUGAGUAGCCAAAGAAUCUAAGUUGGAUAAAAUUGAAAAUGAUAAGGAUAACAUUAUUAAUUAAGUUGAAAUGAAAAGAUGAGAACUAUCUUGCAUAGAAAAACUAUUGGAAAGUUAGCUUUUUUGUUUUUAUCACUCUUAUAAGAGUUUCAAAUGUUUGUAAUAUGUGACAAUUUGAUAAUCAUUAUCGAGGCUUUUUAGUUUUUAAGUUUCUUAUUUGUUCUUCUUUAAUUUGCAAAUUUAAGUCUUCUUGGUCCGUCUUUUCAUGUGAAAAAUUUAUAAUAUAUACUUGUGUAUAAAAAUUUAAAGAUGUUAUGAGUUGUUUCAUGUUAAGGAUGUUAUGAGUUGUUUCAUGUUAGUCGUAACGGUUGUCCAUUCCCAAGUGACCGAACUACUUUCCUAGAUUUGCUCCCAAGUGGAUAGUAAGUUCUCGUAUGUCUAACCUUGAUAGUCAGGUUUAAUUGAAUAUAUAUGGCUCUAUGCACAUCAUCACUGACAUUGACAAUUAAAGGAGCACAAAAUGUCAGCAUUCUAAAUAUUGGAGAGGAAAUGCGGUACCAAUGUGAAUGCUUGAUAAGUACAAGGAUAAUGUAUGUCUCUUCUUUAUGCCACAAGUAUGAUAUAAGAAUCAAAAUAGGACAUCAAGACUUCUUCUUCUUCUUUUAAUUAGAGAAAAAUAAUGGGAGUCAAAGAAAAAAAAAUUUGAAGUGAUGUUUUCAUAUGAUAUCAUAUUGUUGAAAAUUGCUUCAAUGAUAUUCAAUACAUAUCAUUAUAUCCCUCAUAAUAAUAGAAAUAAGUUCCUAAAUUACAUUUUUUUUC